Molecule: transfer RNA, 74 nt
Filed under: Schistocerca americana (American grasshopper)
Lineage: Eukaryota; Metazoa; Arthropoda; Insecta; Orthoptera; Acrididae
Also listed under: 1 other name
Description: tRNA-Ile
Rfam family: tRNA
About the family: Transfer RNA (tRNA) molecules are approximately 80 nucleotides in length.
Source: RNAcentral
GGCCCGUUAGCUCAGUUGGUUAGAGCGUCGUGCUAAUACCGCGAAGGUCGUGGGUUCGAUCCCCCCACGGGCCA